GUAAAAAGUGCGAUUGUUUUUGUAACUUAUUAUUACCCAUCAAAAAAAUGUGUUUUACUGACCUUUAAAAUAAAUUGCUUCUACAAAACUCUAUUUAAGUGUUUAUAUCUAAAGUAAAACUUCACGACCCGCCCACAUGACGCAGCACGCAUCCAGAGCAACGACACCGUUGCUCAUACCUGUACUGGACCAGUUUUGGAGUUCUGUGGAGUUUUUGAGGGCUUUAUACAACGUGCAACACAUAGAGAUGUCAGAAGCAUAAAUGACAUGAUGGCCAGGAGAUAUAGCUGGGGAAGAAUGGAAGUGGUUGUCCAGAGCCCAGAUGUGCAAAAAUUAAAGAAAGAUGGCCUGCCCAGAUAAAUGAAGAAUUCCAAAGGUGUACUGGUGUUCCACAAGAAUCAGUUUUUAUGUCCCAGCUGGACAAAUACACUCAAAAACUUCUUGACCUGUUUAGUGCGAAGGGUGCAGCGACUGGUCAACGCAUCAAUUGGAGUUAUUGGAACUGAAACAGGUAAGGCAAACAUGGUAACAAUG
Non-coding RNA from Danio rerio (zebrafish), 534 nucleotides. The record is from RefSeq and is a predicted model, not a curated record. NCBI's taxonomy places the organism in Eukaryota, Metazoa, Chordata, Actinopteri, Cypriniformes, Danionidae.